CAAACUGGUAUAAGUUCAAUGGGCUGACACCAACUUGGCAUGCCUUCCUCGUUAUUAAAAACAUUGAUUGUAGGACUAUCUAACAAUAACGCAGAGAAUCCGGGAGUACAUGUUGCUACUUGAACAUUAUAUAGAGUAGAAUUCAUCAGUUGGUUGCUAAGACCCGUUAUCCGACUUGAAUUUUGUGCUGUAUACGCCCAUGCAUCAAAAGAAAUUUCACUGGUAACAGUAUUCACAAAAGGGAUCAUUGCAUUUUCAAUACUUUGAGGAUUGCAUGUUUUCAAAUACGUUGUAAAUGUCAAGGGAGUAAAGUUGGCCGUGUCGUUUUCAGCUA
Schizosaccharomyces pombe (fission yeast) is the source of this 334-nucleotide non-coding RNA. NCBI's taxonomy places the organism in Eukaryota, Fungi, Ascomycota, Schizosaccharomycetes, Schizosaccharomycetales, Schizosaccharomycetaceae. The record is from the annotation of a GenBank genome assembly.